Amphiprion ocellaris (clown anemonefish) is the source of this 2614-nucleotide long non-coding RNA. The record is from Ensembl. Lineage: Eukaryota; Metazoa; Chordata; Actinopteri; Pomacentridae.
GGGUGUGGUUUGCUUUCUAUAGAGUUCUGUAAUCGUGACUCCGCAUUUCAUUCCUCUUUGCUGCGCUGAGUUUACAGAACUCUACUACAGGCUCAUAAAUGAGCUCUGAAACCAUGGCUACAGUCACCGUAGAAUAUUGUAAAGGAUGAGGUUACGCAUACCGCUACCAGGAACUAGCCAGUACCAUCAGGCAGGUUCCUGGUGUGAAGGUGAACGGAGUCGUGGGGAGAAAGAUUUUGAGGUGACACUGAAUGGGCAGCUGAUCUACUCCAAGCUCAGUACAGGACAGUUUCCUGAUAAUGAGCAGGUGGCAGCGAUGGUGAGGAAGAUGGUUGGUGGAGGACAAGUGCAGAAAAAAUCGAAGUCUCACAAAACUAAAUGCGCUCAACAUUAGGAGGCGGAGGAUGAAACGAGCUGUAUUCACACUGACAGAACGAUGGUUUGGUUUGUUUGUUGUUUUUUUUCUGUCUCACACGCACUUUUUUGAAUGCAAAACUCAAUUUACCCAUUGAAAUAUGACAUGAAAACAGUCUAAACAUUUUAAUCGUUGGUCAUUAAAGCCUCUCUCUGUGUGACAAGGGAAAAGAUCAGACCACACAGUGUCUUCACUGUGAAUACAGACACAGACGACAGGUUGACGAAAGCAACUCAGAGGGUUCUGGCACUGAUCUGCACUUCUGUUUAUGAAUGUACACGCUUAAAAAAACGGGGGUGUGUACACGAUGCAAGUCUAGAAGCCUUUCAUCUGACCAGAGUCUGAAGAUGUGCUCGCAUCACGUCUGUCUGGCAUUGAUACGUAAACCUCUCAUGCAUUUACUUGGAAUGGAAAAAAAAACAGCUCUUUAUCAAGCCUCAGAUAUUUUCUAAUAUGAUUCUCUGUUUAAAUAACUCUGUGAUAUGAUUGACUACAUAUUUAAAAGGCAUUUUUGGAAAUAAAUUUAUUUGCUUUUUUGCCAAAAGUAGGCAGGAUGAGAAGAUUUAUACACACUAUAGUGAUGUGUAUACCAUAAAUAAAUAAAACACUACUACUAGCAGCUGUUUGCUUAGCUUAGCACAGUCACUGGAUACAGGGAGAAACGGCUAGCUCGACUAGCUCCCUAAUUAACAUGUUAUAUCUUUUUUGUUUGAUGCAUUUAAAACCUUUGUAAAGUAUAAAAAAUGACAAAUUGCAAAUAGACAUUAUUUUAUUAUAAUAUGGUGGUGCUGUUAGUUACAUUUUCGUGACUUUGGACAGAGCCAAGCUAACUGCUAGCUGUUUCCGGUCUUUAUGCUAACAUAUGCUAACAGGCUGCUAGCUGUAGCCUCAUACAUAUGGUACAGGCAUGAAAGGCAAGGCAAGUUUAUUUGUAUAACACCAUUCAUACGCAACUCAAGGUGCUUUACAGGGGCAUAGAAAUACAUUUAGAAAGGAACACUGAAGUUAAAAUUACAGUAUAAUUUCAAGAUAUGAAGACAUUAAAAUAGACAUUAAAAUCAGAGAUAUGGUUUAAAGCCAAUAAAGGUGCAUUUUAACGUACAAGAAUGAAAAAUUUAAGAACUAAGAUGAUUUGUCUGAGAAAGCUGUCGUAAACAACACUGUUUUCAGACCUGAUUUAAAUGAGAUGACAGUUUUAACAGUUUGUCCUAUAGCCGAGGUGCAUAAUAACUGAAUGCUGCUUCACUUUGUUUGGCUUUGGUUCUGGGGACACACAAUGAGCCUGUUCCUGAUGACCUGAGAGGUCCAAGACCAAAAUACAUGAAAGUAGUAUAGAUCUUCUCAUCAAACUCAACAAGAAAGUGGAUAAGGGUAUUUCCAAAAUUUCAAACUACUUUUGGUGUGGGUGUUGUAAAACAGAAUAUACAUUGCAAAAUUUUAUUUCACAUUUAAAUUAUGCCUAUCUAGAUUGUCAGUCAUCCAUGGUCUGGUAAAUGGUGUCCAUCUUAUCGCAUCCCUCCUUCAUGGUAGUCCUAAGUGCUUAAGUACAAGUGGUGAUAACUACCUGAUAAAUCAACACCACUAAUCAGUUACUUAUAAUGCAGUCUUGAAAUCCCUCCCUGGACAGUUUCACCACCAUUAAUACCUUCAGUCAUCCCAACCAGCCACACCUGGUGUGAGUGUUUGGUUGCUAACCGGUCGUUAGCCAUUAGCCAUUUGGGUGCGACUAUCUGACCCAAUCAGUCAGCUGGAACUGAAGAAGCUUCUUGGAUGAAAGACGAAACAAUUUUAAGAACCAAAAACAGUCCAGUUGCUGUCUACUAAAGCACGUAGGACUCCUAUUUGGAAAAAAUAUUGAGCGUCUCAGUGCUCUCGAAGAGCCUUAACACAACCUGAAAGUGAACCCUUUCUUUGACAUAUUGUAUCAAGUACAUAUCAUAUUGAGUAUUUAAAAUGCAUAGCUGUCAUAUAUGACCUACUAUUUGAAAAACAAUACAUGGAAGUAUUAUUACCAGGAUGAUGCUGUGAGCUAAGUACUGUGUAUGUGCUGCCAUUUGUUACCAUUCUGGCAUUUUAGAAUUUGAAAAUCAGACUAAAAUCUUAAUUUGAAUCAUGUUACUGUAUUGUAUUGUUAUACUGUUACCCAUUUUGUAACCACUUUUUUUCCCAGAAUUGCAAUAAAACAUCACUGACUAAUUG